This 4450-nucleotide long non-coding RNA is filed under the name Sus scrofa (pig). RNAcentral describes it as "lncRNA (ENSSSCG00065031515.1)". The record is from RNAcentral. Lineage: Eukaryota; Metazoa; Chordata; Mammalia; Artiodactyla; Suidae.
GGCUAUCAGACUCCUGCCCACAGUUUUUUUAAAGUUUCUGCUCACCUAAUUCCAUUCCCCACCCCCGACACACAAACAUAUUUUAGGUUUUGUUAUGGUAGCACCAAAAUUCCAGGAGCCAAAAUAUGUUAGUUACCUUCUGUAGAACACACUACCCCAAGAAUAAUGGCUUAAAACAAUUCGAUGUUUUAAAUGUUUUGAUAUCUCAGAGUUUCUGUAGGCCUGGUGUCCUGCAUGGCUCAGCUGGAAAGUCUUGUUUUGGGGCUACUUAUGAGGUUGCAGUCAAGAUUUCAGCUAGAGGAACAGUCAUCUGAAGGCUUGGCUGGAGCAAAAGAAUCCCAUUUCAAGGUAGCUCGCUUCAUGGUUAGCAAGUUGGUGCUCACUGUAGGCAGGAGCCCUCCUUUCCUCUCCAUAGGCUGGGUUGAGUGUCCUCAUCACACGGGGACUGUCUCACUGCAGAGUAAGCAAUGCCAGAGAGCAAGGUGGAAGCCACCACGUCUUUUAGAGCUCAGCAUCAGUUGUCACACUAUGCCCCCUCCGCAGUAGUUUAUUGAUGUCAGACCACCCAUGGCUGAGUGUGGGGAGGACAAUGAAAGAUGAGAAUACCAGGAAGAUCACUGGAGGCAAUCUGCAGGAUCUGGCCAUCACAGUAUGCGGGGCUGAAUUGUGCUCCCUCCAGACUCAUUUCCACCCAGAACCUCAGAAAGUGACCACAUUUGGAAAUCUCUUUAGAUGUUAAUUAGUUAAGAUUAACUAAUAUUUCUAGUAUUAGUAUUAUUGAUACUACUAAUAAUACUAAGUAAUACUAGAUUAGCAGACCUUAAUUCCAAUGGCUAGUAUUCUUAUAAAAAGGCCACAGACUCCAUGUAAAGAUGGAGGCAGAAAUCUGAGUCAUGCAGCUGCAAACCAAGAAGCACCUGGGUUUGCCAGCAACCACCAGAAGUAGGAUGAGGCAAGGAAGACUUCUUCCUGAGAGCUUUCAGAGAGACAUGGCUUUGAUAAGCCUCCAUCACUGUGAGAGAAUAUAUCUCCAUUACUUUAAGCCACUCAGUUUUUAGUAAUUUGUUAUGGCAGUCCUAGGAAGGUAACACACACAUAUUCUUUACAUUUUAGGUGCUUAUUAAUAUAAUUGGUUUCCCACCAUACUGAUAAUCUAUUAGUUUACAAAAAGAGGAAUCAGUCAUACAGUGCUCAAUUAAGUGAAAGAGCAAAACAAACAACAUAUGAAACUCUGUGUCAUAACCCACUCAUUCCAGUCCUGUGUGUGACUAUUUCAACAUGAAUUUGUUAAUUACAUUUAUUAAGCAUCUACUAGUUGCAGGAUUCCAUGCUGGAUAUGCUGGAAGAAUUUUAAUUCAAACAGCAUGCAGUUCCUAUUUAUAAAUUGAUUGUUCUUUUAUAGAGGAAAUAUCAAGUAAGCAAAGCACAUGAGAAUUUUUUUAAAAGAGAUAAUUAUGACUCAAAUGGAAUGCAUAGGACCAGUCAUUAAAAUAAAGUCCAGAUUUCAUUAGUUUUGCAAAAGAGAAAAUAUACACAACAAAGAAAUGUCAGGGUGGAUAAAUGUAACUUGGAGGGAUAAAAACAAAAGAACAAGAUCAAGUCAAAUUGUCUCCCAGUUGCAUGACAUAGAGUCCUGUGAACAUACCAUCAGUCAUGCCAUUUCCAUACCCUAGAGUACCCUCUUUCUGCCUAUCUCCACUGACUCUAACCUCUUGACCCAGUUCCUGUUCCCAAUCCUCCUUUCUAGAUAGCCUCCUAUUUCUCUGAUUUCCUAUUACUCUUACCAUCCUCAACAUUUACUAAGCCCUUAGCCAUGCUGUAUACCCUUUAAGUGGUAUUUACAUCUUUGGGGAGGGGUCACAUUUUAUGUCUUCCCACAGUAGGUACCCAAGAUAUAUGUGUGACUACUGCUGAUUCCUACUGGUGAUGAAUUUUUAAUGUUAGUUUUUAAUUAAGUUCAGCUAACUAUUAUUAUUUGAAUUGGAUCAUGUCUGUUCUCGACUAUGUAACUAACACAAUGGAAACUUGCUUAAAUAACCCUCUGUGUAAAUUUUUUUUAUUUUUAUUUUUUGUCUUUUUGCCAUUUCUUGGGCCACUCCCACGGCAUAUGGAGGUUCCCAGGCUAGGGGUCUAAUGGGAGCUGUAGCUGCCGGCCUACACCAGAGCCACAGCAACAUGGGAUCCGAGCCGAGUCUGCGACCUACACCACAGCUCACGGCAACGCUGGAUCGUCAACCCACUGAGCAAGGGCAGGGAUCGAACCGGCAACCUCAUGGUUCCUAGUUGGACUCGUUAACCACUGCGCCACGACAGGAACUCCUGUAAAUUUUUUUAAAUGGACUGUCUUCCUGAGAUAUCUCCCCACCAAAAUCUUUGCCCUCCUUACAUAACUCUCUCCCAUGAACCAAAGCAGCAAGUGAGAACAAGGCUACAAUUAGGUUUAAACUAACAAUCUGAGAAAGACAUAUGAAUUCUCCUCCUUUCUGAGACAAUGUGGGAAAUAGCAGGAAUGAUGGGAGAAAGAAAAAUAUACACUUUUGUAAGUGGGAAUAGUACAUAUUUUUUAAGAGCUGAAAAUAUGAGAGCAUAUUUGCUUUCAAAGAUGUGUCUUUUCUUUCUUAUGCCUAACAAUCAAAACUAUGACCAGUAAGGCCCCCUUAUCAAGUUCUACUUGUGACUUAUUCAUUCAGGAAACAAUGGAUGCCUUCAGUGUUAGGGCUGGAAAUAAAACCAAAACUUCAGUCUAAUGGUAAAGGUGAGUGAGAAAGCUGCUUCCUCAGGUAAAGAGGAAAGGAUUAUUCAAAUCUCUAAAGUGGUGUCUUACUUUUUUAUUUUUUGGCCACACCAACAUGGAAGUUCCCAGGCCAGGGAUUGAACCCAAACCUCAGAAGUGACCCGAGUCACAGUGGGAACUCCAAUGGUGUCUAAUUUAGAAGGGAUUAUACAGCCUUAGGGUGAUUCCUGUUUAGAAACUUGCUUUCAAAGACUGAAAAGAAAAAGUAAUCAAUUUAAAAAGAAAAAAUCUUCGCACAUUUUGUGGAUAAUAUUAGAGUGAGAUGCUGCAUGUGUCUCCCUAGCUUAUAGUGCAUUAAUUUGAAAUCUAUCCAAGCCUAACUCUUGAUUUCUGUCUCAGCUACCACCACCUACCCCUGCCAGCGUAUAAGGGCUCUUCCUACAAUCUUCCUCCAUCUCAGUAAACAUCAUCAUUUACCAAAUCAGACCAAACCUUAAGGUUUUCCCUAAUUCACCUCUUUUUCUCAAUCCUAUAUUCAUUCAUCAGCAAGUACAUUCAAUUCUCCUUCAAAAAAAAUGUUCCCAAACCAAUCACUUCUCAUUUCCUCCCCUGCUAUCACCGCAUUCCAAGCCAGCUUCAUCUCUGACCAAAGGAUAACAAUAGCUUCUUAACUGGACUGUCUGCUUCCAUUCAGAACCUUCACUUUGUUCUAUACAAAGAGUCAAAGUGACUCUUUAAAUAAAAAAUCAGAUCAUGUCAUUUCUACAAUCUUAUCUCUUUCAUAGCUUCAGCAUUUACAAUAAAAUCAAAAACCUCCACCAUGGUCUUCCAGGUUCCAUAUGACCUGAGCCCUGGCCCCCUCUCCCACCUCAUUUACUCAUUACUUGUGCUCUGGCUCACUGUACUUCAGCCCUGCUGGCCUCCUGGGUGGUCCCCCUGAUAUGUCAGGGACAUUCCCAUUGUCAGGUUUCUGUACAUACUGUUCUUUGCCCUCAGAAGAGGAUGCUGCUCCCUGGACACAGUCUGGUCCCUACUCACGUGUCACUUCCUCCAUGAGGCCAUCCCCAAAAACCUUAUCCACAAUGGCACCCUUGUCACGCUGCCUGCUUUUCCUUCAACAGCUCUUUCCUUCAAUGGCACUGGUCUCCACCUGGCAUUACCUAAUGGAAGAGAUACUUGACUAAAAAGGACUAGGAGUUCAGAAAGAGGACAAUGGAAGAAGAUCAUUCCAAGAAGACAGGGUUCAAGGAGACAGAUGUGACUCAAGUGUGUACCCGCAGAGAAGAGGCUGUCCCCACAAGUCAUUUGUGUAGCACCUCUGCACUUACUGAGUUUACAUCCACAUCGGUUUUCAGAGUCAUUUAUAGGAGUAUCAGUUCCUAAUUUGACCAAUUCCAAUACCACAGAAUUAUUAUCCUAAAUUCAGCCUUCUUUUUGUGAUUGUAAUACACAAGACAGUUAUAAAAUUAGCCUAAUUCUGCUCAAUCAACAUUUGAUUCUUUACUACAGGAUAGACAUGGGCGAGGUGCCAGAAGAAAAGAAAAUAUUCAAAAUGAAUGAAAUGUGGUUCCUGUAGUGAUGGCAAGUAUAAAUGACCAGUUAUAUGACCUAAAAAGAAUGAAAUGUGGUUCCUGUAGUGAUGGCAAGCAGUAUAAAUGACCAGUUAUAUGACCUAAAAAAACAAAAACAAAAACAAAAAAACCUAAAAAAAAAAAA